ACGGAGGGUGCAAGCGUUAUUCGGAAUUAUUGGGCGUAAAGGGCGUGCAGGCGGGAGAGUAAGUCAGAUGUGAAAGCCCGGGGCUUAACCCCGGACGGGCAUUGGAUACUGCUUUUCUUGAGUACUGUCAAGGCAGGGAGAAUUUCCGAUGUAGAGGUGAAAUUCGUAGAGAUCACACGGAACAUCGAUUGCGAAGGCGGCUUGCUGGGCAACUACUGACGCUGAUGCACGAAAGCGUGGGGAGCAAACAG
This 251-nucleotide ribosomal RNA is filed under the name uncultured prokaryote. RNAcentral's name for it is "partial 16S rRNA". It matches the Rfam family "Bacterial small subunit ribosomal RNA", at positions 525 to 775 of the family's 1533-position model. The record is from RNAcentral.